This 93-nucleotide microRNA precursor is filed under the name Myotis lucifugus (little brown bat). RNAcentral's name for it is "miRNA (ENSMLUG00000020187.1)". Lineage: Eukaryota; Metazoa; Chordata; Mammalia; Chiroptera; Vespertilionidae. The record is from RNAcentral.
UGUGUGUAUAUGUGUGUGUGUAUGUGUAUGUAUGUAUAUGUGUAUAUACACACACAUACACACACACACACACACACACACACACACUCAUAU